Molecule: ribosomal RNA, 490 nt
Filed under: uncultured bacterium
Lineage: Bacteria
Description: partial 16S ribosomal RNA
Rfam family: Bacterial small subunit ribosomal RNA
Source: RNAcentral
AUUGAACGCUGGCGGCAUGCCUUACACAUGCAAGUCGAACGGCAGCAUGAUCUAGCUUGCUAGAUUGAUGGCGAGUGGUGAACGGGUGAGUAAUACAUCGGAACGUGUCCUGUUGCGGGGGAUAACUCGUCGAAAGAUUAGCUAAUACAGCAUACGCCCCGAGGGUGAAAGUGGGGGACCGCUAGGCCUCAUGCUCUAGGAGCGGCCGAUGUCUGAUUAGCUAGUUGGUGGGGUAAAGGCCCACCAAGGCGACGAUCAGUAGCUGGUCUGAGAGGACGAUCAGCCACACUGGGACUGAGACACGGCCCAGACUCCUACGGGAGGCAGCAGUGGGGAAUUUUGGACAAUGGGGGCAACCCUGAUCCAGCAAUGCCACGUGUGUGAAGAAGGCCUUCGGGUUGUAAAGCACUUUUGUCCGGAAAGAAAACGCACAUACUAAUAUUAGGUGUGGAUGACGGUACCGGAAGAAUAAGGACCGGCUAACUACGUG